This is a long non-coding RNA of Dendrobium catenatum, 457 nucleotides long. RefSeq lists it as uncharacterized. The record is from RefSeq and is a predicted model, not a curated record. The transcript has 3 exons. Lineage: Eukaryota; Viridiplantae; Streptophyta; Magnoliopsida; Asparagales; Orchidaceae.
UUAUUCAAAGCAUCAUGAAGAACAAUACCUACAUAUCUACUGCAGACAAGGUUGAGGCAUUAUUUGACUUAAUAAAAGGGCUUAUCAAGGAUAUGGAUGAGAUUCAAGAUGAGGACGAUUUCAAGGAGGGGAAAAAUUCGGUUGCUUGCCUCAUUCACAUGCUGUACAAUGAUGAUCCAGAGGAGAUGCUGGAGGAAGGGAAUUGAUUGAUCUGUGAUUAAAGGAUACUGGAACCCUCAAAGCUGCAACACAAUUUCGAAGGGAGUGCUUUUCUCUUCCGAAUGCACAAGCUUUGUUAAAUGUGAUUAUAGGUUGAUGUUGUCAUUUACCUUUGAUAGAGCUGAGUUUGUAAUUUUAUAUUUAUUUGCAUAAAAGUUAAUGAAAGAUUUUUAUGUUAACUAGAUGUUAUUAUUUUUUAAACAUUAAGAUUUAAUGAUUAAUGAUUUAUGAGAUCGCA